ACAACUAGACAGGCCUCUGUGCAACCACAGUGCCAUAGUCAUGCUCCUCGUGAAGAAACUCCUCCAGUACACAAAUGUAUGAAGUAGAAAGUAAAGACCCUUCACAAUCUCUCCCUCCAUCAAGAUAACCAGCGUUCAGAGUGUUUUCUCCUGUGAAGGAACAGUGUACCUAGAGAUGGAUCAAUAUCACACAUGAGAAAACACACACAAAAAUAGAAUCCAGUGCCUGGCACCUAGAAGGUUCGAUAAAUUUUUGUUGAAAGAAUGUAUAUACACAUUGAAUAAAUACAUAGGUUGUAGUUAAUAUGUAUCUGUUGAAUGAGUGCAUCUGUAGUUCUCAAAAUAAAUUGAUCUAUGUGUAAAUUUAAUAAAGUGAAUAAUUUACACA
This is a non-coding RNA of Callorhinus ursinus (northern fur seal), 388 nucleotides long. Lineage: Eukaryota; Metazoa; Chordata; Mammalia; Carnivora; Otariidae. The record is from RefSeq and is a predicted model, not a curated record.